UACAACCAUCUAAAGCAUAAUAUAAUUUACAAUCCCAAUUAUACCCUUCACUCAAAAAACACCACACGGGGUACACAAAUCAAUUUUAGGGUUUCUCACUCUCAUCGUAUUUUAUCCGCCCCCAUCGAGCUGCUUUCUCUCCAGGCGAUUCAAAAGGAAAUCUAGGGUUUCUUCUGGCGAUGCAAGAUCUGGCUUUCUCAAUGACACCAGAUCAACAAAUCUCUCUCUAUAUGACACCCAAACGACUGAGUUUGAAGGUGGUGAAGGGUUUGGAUCUGCCAAUAAGUGACGUAUGAGCAAGGUAUGGUUCCGACAAACUGAAGACUUUGACAUCUAAUCUGAAUGGUAUUGGGUCCCCUAUGAAGCCCCUUGUAAACGACGAUCACACAAAAUCGACGAUUUUAGGGUUCAGUUUUGGUAGUCUGAUGAGGAAAUUAGCAUCAUGUUAUGGGUUUUCGGUAACUCGUUGCAUUAGCUGUUACAAGUGAAGACCCCCAGAGAGACAUGAAGCCCUAGGUUGCUCGGUAUGCAGAAUGUCAAGAUACAAUGAUAGGAGGCACUUUUAUUCGGGGCGUUUCAGGCGGGGAGAGAAAACGAGUUUGUAUUGGACUUGAAAUAAUAAUCAAUCCUUCUCUCUUGUUCCUUGAUGAACGAUGUCGGCUUGGACUCUACAACUGCUUUGAAGUUCAAUGAACUAUUGCAAGACAUAGCUGAGACAGAGAAGACCGUGAUCACCACAAUUCACCAGCCAUCGAUCCGACUUUUCCACAAAUUUGAUAAUCUAAUCCUACUUGGAAAAUGGAGCUUGCUUUAUUUCGGGAAAGCAUCCGAAGCCAUUGGUAUACUUUUCAUCAAUAGGAUGUUCUCCAUUAAUUUCCAUGAAUCCCGCAGAGUUUUAGCUAGACUUUUAUGGUGGCAGUCAGAAGUUCACAGUCCUAAAGACCUCGAUAAUCAAGCAGGGUUGUUGUUCUUCAUUGCGGUAUUUUAGGCAUUUUUCCGGUUUUCAUAGCGAUUUUUACAUUCCCACAGGAAAGCGCAAUGUUAAACAAGGGAAGAGCAACAGAUAUGUAUAGAUUAAGUGCAUAUUUUAUGGCGAGAACAACAACUGACCUUCCACUUGAUCUAUUUCUCCCAUUGCUUUUUCUCCUUGUUGUUUAUUACAUGGCAGGCUUGAGAUUAACCGCCGAUUCGUUUUUCUUAACUAUUUUCUUCCUAUGUAUAGUUGCAGCUCAGGGGCCUGGGCUAGCUAUUGGUGCUACGUUGACCAACUUGAAGAAAGCAACGACUUUGGCUUCUGUAACCGUGAUGGCCUUCAUGUUGGCUGGUCGUUAUUUUGUGAAGGAUCGGUUUGAUCCAAUUGCCGAUUCGACUACUAGCCGUCUCGAUCUGAUUCCCCAGAUGGUUUACGGGAGAAGUUUAAAACAACAGGACUAGGGAGAGAUGUACUGUGCUACACUGACAAUCAACUCUACGAUUGUGUGCGUUGGUCGUAUUUUUGGGCAGGAUGUAGCUGAAAUUCCUUUAGUGGCAACAAGUAGUGAAUGUCAAGGAUUGCUUAGCAUUGAUUGGUCUUGUUCUUGGUUCAUCAACAGUGGCAAGAGGUGUAGUUGGUCUUGUUCUUGGUUACCUGAACAAUUUAUUUAUAGAAAUGGCUUUCUUGAUAGAGGUGCGUGCAUAUCACAUCAUCCAUCACCUUCAAAGCAUGACUUAUAACCAUUUCUACAUAGGGCAAUGUUCACAUUACAAGACCAUACCGGUCACUCGGACCGCAUACCAACUACACAAGCGGCAUGGUCGAGUACUCUUGUACUGCUCAUUUGGAUAGGCCAGUUAUCAUGUCGGCUGUUGAACUGAAAACCGGAUUGUUGAUUGGGCCAGAUUUUUAAAGCUUUGUAGUUUCCUUUUUUUAAUUUUUUCCCUUCUAAAAUAGUAAAAUCUCAUCUAUUAAUUCAUUUUAAACUAAAACCUCUAUGGUUUGCUUAUUCCAGGCUCUAUUUUGGUAGCAUUGCCAAAAAAAUAAAGGAUAAAUUAGUUCCAUAUUUUGUUUUUAUUAGUUAUACAUAAUUUUUUAAAGUUCUAAAUUAUUUAUGAUGUCAACCCGUUUCUGAAACUGGUAUGACCAAUCGACCAUUCAUUGACAUGUACGGAUAUGUUCUAUCGUUUGCAGGCUAACACACAUGAGGAGCUACCUGAAACCCUUCUGGGAACUUGGUGGUUGAAUCACAUGUACACAUCCAAAUUCAUGAAAGUUGUAUAGUUUAGUAGUUUAUAAUAACCCAUUUGAAUUC
Helianthus annuus (common sunflower) is the source of this 2288-nucleotide RNA transcript. It is a transcript of the gene named ABC transporter G family member 22, with no coding region annotated. The transcript has 11 exons. The record is from RefSeq and is a predicted model, not a curated record. NCBI's taxonomy places the organism in Eukaryota, Viridiplantae, Streptophyta, Magnoliopsida, Asterales, Asteraceae.